GUCAGGAUGGCCGAGUGGUCUAAGGCGCCAGACUUAACUUCUGGUCUCUGAGUGGAGGCGUGGGUUAGAAUCCCACUUCUGACA
This 84-nucleotide transfer RNA is filed under the name Ornithorhynchus anatinus (platypus). Its description in RNAcentral is "tRNA-Leu (TAA) (tRNA-Leu-TAA-4-1)". It matches the Rfam family "tRNA". Rfam says of the family: Transfer RNA (tRNA) molecules are approximately 80 nucleotides in length. Their secondary structure includes four short double-helical elements and three loops (D, anti-codon, and T loops). Further hydrogen bonds mediate the characteristic L-shaped molecular structure. tRNAs have two regions of fundamental functional importance: the anti-codon, which is responsible for specific mRNA codon recognition, and the 3' end, to which the tRNAs corresponding amino acid is attached (by aminoacyl-tRNA synthetases). tRNAs cope with the degeneracy of the genetic code in two manners: having more than one tRNA (with a specific anti-codon) for a particular amino acid; and 'wobble' base-pairing, i.e. permitting non-standard base-pairing at the 3rd anti-codon position. Lineage: Eukaryota; Metazoa; Chordata; Mammalia; Monotremata; Ornithorhynchidae. The record is from RNAcentral.